RNAcentral lists this ribosomal RNA (460 nucleotides) under uncultured Anaerolineaceae bacterium. Its description in RNAcentral is "bacterial SSU rRNA". It matches the Rfam family "Bacterial small subunit ribosomal RNA", at positions 907 to 1382 of the family's 1533-position model. The record is from RNAcentral. Lineage: Bacteria; Bacillati; Chloroflexota; Anaerolineae; Anaerolineales; Anaerolineaceae.
UGAAUUGACGGGACCGCACAAGCGGUGGAUGAUGUGGAUUAAUUCGAUGCAACGCGAAAACCUUACCUACCCUUGACAUGUCUGGAACCUUGCUGAGAGGCGAGGGUGCCUUCGGGAGCCAGAACACAGGUGCUGCAUGGCUGUCGUCAGCUCGUGUCGUGAGAUGUUCGGUUAAGUCCGCUAACGAGCGCAACCCUCACUGUGUGUUAUACGUGUCACACGGGACUGCCGGUUUUAAGCCGGAGGAAGGCGAGGAUGACGUCAAGUCAGCAUGGCCUUUAUAUCCUGGGCGACACACGUGCUACAAUGGCCGGCACAGCGGGAAGCGAGGGGGCGACCUUGAGCGGAUCCCUCAAAGCCGGUCUCAGUUCGGAUUGCAGUCUGCAACUCGACUGCAUGAAGUUGGAAUCGCUAGUAAUCGUGGAUCAGCCAAGCCGCGGUGAAUACGUUCCCGGGCCUU